GCAGCGGUAGUUCAGUUGGUUAGAAUAUCGGCCUGUCACGCUGAGGGUCGCGGGUUCGAGCCCCGUCCGCUGCGCCA
RNAcentral lists this transfer RNA (77 nucleotides) under Acinetobacter lwoffii. RNAcentral describes it as "tRNA-Asp". It matches the Rfam family "tRNA". From Rfam's summary of the family: Transfer RNA (tRNA) molecules are approximately 80 nucleotides in length. Their secondary structure includes four short double-helical elements and three loops (D, anti-codon, and T loops). Lineage: Bacteria; Pseudomonadati; Pseudomonadota; Gammaproteobacteria; Moraxellales; Moraxellaceae. The record is from RNAcentral.